UAUCACACACAUGCAAUGAAUUUGGGGGUUUAGGGUAUCGAGUCUAGAGCAAUGAGUCCAUGGGCAUGGGCAGCUGAUGGGAACAAGGCGCCUGAUUUGAUGCUACUGCUCGGGUUCAGGGCUGCAUCACACACACUGGUGCACCAGUAGUUUACUCAUGGCAAACCUCAAGCUGCGUUUACUUUUGGGAAGAUGGGGAAAAACUUAAUGAAUGUUUGCACAUACAUCUGAUAGCACCAGGGAGAUUUAUACUUCCCUUGAUAAUUCCCUGAGAUGCUGAAAUAAGUUUGGGGUUUAUUGUUGGGUGUCUCUAUUGAGUUUGGUUGAGCCAGCUUGAUUGAGAUUAAGGGGAUGACACGAUGUUGGUGAAAAUUGUGGGAAUGAAAGGGCAGCUGGAUUUAUCAUUCAAAUGUCCAUUUGGGGAAGCUCCCCAAAUAGACAACCAAGCAAGCUUCCCAGUACAUACACCAAAGUUGUCUCAGGGAAGAAUUCUUUGUUGGGGUGUUAAUAUAUGGCUUGUUUCUUGUUUGUAACUGUACAAGUUAAAUAAAUACAGCUUCCUUAUCUCAUUUAGUUGUCCAUUGUGACUUGCUCAUUCCAUUAUUUGUCUCUUGCAGGAGGAAGCUUCAGCGAUCAAGUCGGCUAGCAAAUCAUGGUACAAGACCAUGAUCUCGGAUAGUGACUACACAGAAUUUGAGAACUUCACAAAGUGGUUGGGUGUGUCUCAGUGAUUCAAAUCUUGAUUUAACUUAGUUAUAGUCUUUAUAUUAAUCUUGAACUCUUUUACUGUUUUUUGCCAUAUACUUGUAUUCUGUAUAUAUCUCAACUUCAUGCUUAUGUUGUUAGGUCAUAGUAUUCUUAUAACCUGUAGAUGGAUGUCUAAUCUUUUGCUUUAAGAAGAUUUUCCUUUCCCAUGAAGAUUACAUGCUUUCAUUUUGAUUAUUUCUUGAACCCAGAGGAAGAUUAACUGAAGUUACUAAGAGAAAACUUGUUGGAAACAAUGAAACCAAAACAUAGAUUUUUUCAAGUUAUUGUAUGUUUGUGAGUGAUCUGCCAGUCCAAACCAACCACCACCCAUUUGUAUAUAGAUUUAAGAGCUUUAUAUUCUGAUGAAGAUGAUAGCAGGAUCUCAAUGUAGCUGUAGUAGGAUUGUGAAGGGAUGAUUCGAGAUGUUGUUCUGGAAAUUCUAGUUCUGCAUCUUGCUUUAAUUAUUUAAGUAAUAGGAUUGCAGUCUCGUUAUGCUGCUAAAUGCUGAUUAUUUCUGUACAAUAUGGUCCUCUUUUAGGAAUAAGAAUACUGCAGGAUGUUCUGAUUUUCUAGACCUGAUGUUGCAUCUAUAUUGUUCUUAUGAUAGAGCUUCAACACUUAAGGAACAGUCUCCCAGCAAAUUUUUAGUUUCUUUACAUGGCACAUAGUAUAAGCAUAGUAUAAGCAUAGAAAAAACAAUCAACAUCAGAGAACCGCGAUACUGAGGUAAACUGCAAGUGCUUUCAUGUAUUUGCACUAUGCUCCAUUGUGAUAAGUAUUCUCAAUGUGUACAUGUGUACGAAUAAUUCUCACAGAUAAAGAAGGAAUCUGGGUUUAGAGAUUCAUCUUACCUGCCUUGCGAAGACCAUGAGCGAGCUGAUGAGGAUGUGGAUAUUGGUGGAAAUGAUCCGCCUCCAAUUUCCAGUUCACCUCCAAUUUGGAUUGAUAAGGAUGAUGCUGAAAGGAAUAGUAACUGCAGUGGUUCAAGAAGCUCCAGUAGUGAAUCAGGCACCUCAUCUACUGGUGGCAAUAACAGUUAGCAGGAAGAUAGGAAGCUAGAUGUGGCAUUUUGGUUGGUGUUUUGUAUGUCUUUUGAAUCUAGAAAAAAUGUAAGAAUUUGGUGAAGCAAGUGUUGAACACCAUUUUUUUGUUAAUAUUGUUUGGAUGUAAAUUACAUGACUACUUUUGGUACUUGGAAGCUACAAUGUAUGGAAGUUUAAGUUAUGUUAUAUAAUAUGUUUUGGAUUGUAUUA
Salvia miltiorrhiza (redroot sage) is the source of this 2000-nucleotide long non-coding RNA. RefSeq lists it as uncharacterized. The transcript has 3 exons. The record is from RefSeq and is a predicted model, not a curated record. Lineage: Eukaryota; Viridiplantae; Streptophyta; Magnoliopsida; Lamiales; Lamiaceae.